Molecule: long non-coding RNA, 10325 nt
Organism: Phasianus colchicus (ring-necked pheasant)
Lineage: Eukaryota; Metazoa; Chordata; Aves; Galliformes; Phasianidae
Source: RefSeq, a predicted model, not a curated record
CCUCCCUGCCCGGCGCCGCGGGCUUCCCUCCCAGCUCCGCUCUCACGCCCGCCCGUGGGCACGGCCGAUGUUUCUGGCCGGCUGUCCCAUCGGUUCCAUUCCUAAAGCUUUCCGGCUGCGUUCACGCACGUUAUAAAGGGGCCCUGGUGGCUCGGGGCGGUGGCUGGCUCUCUACCCGUGGCCAUACGGCACGCUUGUCUUUAGAGCCUCCGGCGUGGGGUCUCAAUUCGUGGCCCGGUUUUAGAAGGGACGGGCUGUUAUCAAACCCAUCGUGCAUUUGUGCAUUCAUCAGCCGUGUAAAGGAGGUAAAGAGCUGGGCAGGGGGAGCAGAAAUGAAUGGUCAAUGGAGAAGGCCUCUAGGAAAGCAGAUUAAAAGGUCUAUUUGUUUCCUUUACGGCAGGAGCUGGAGAAGGGCCGUGCCCGGUUCCCCGCCCCCAUUCCUUUCCAUAGCCCAGGGCUGCCGCCGCGUCCCGCGUUCCCCGCGCCGCGCUCCUUCCCGCGCGUUCCUUCCCGCACCGGCGGCUGCGCGCGGAGCGCGGAUGAAAUCAUUCCGCUUCCGCUCGGUGCGCUGCACGCUCUGUGGCCGCGCGUGCCAUAUGACGGGCCUUGUUUGACACGGUGCGGUUAUUAACUAACAUUAGCGGCUUUGGUCUGCGUUUAGACAAAGGCGCUUUUGAGAACGAGGGAGAUUUGGUGAGGAGGAUGGGACGAAAGUCUUAAACACUUGAAUGCAGCCGUAAGCAGGCGGUGAAGCUUUAGAGCUGUGUGAGAUGUAGGGGAGGGUGCCGACCCGUGCCGGCUGCUCUGAGGUAUUCGCAUGCCCAGCCUUGGAUGAAGCCAGCCUUGGGAAGUUGACUGCGCCGAGCAGAGAGCAGAGCCCGCAUCGCAGCUCCUUCACCCUCAGCUCACAAGGAGGUGCUACCUCUGUACUGACACAGCAGGGUAGAUGCAACUUCUUCAUUAGAGCCUGCUUUUCCACUGGAGGAGGAGGAUGUUUCUGCACUCUGGGGAAAUGUGGAAGCUCAGCAAGGAUAACCCGUGACUGCAGAUGAAUACCAGUAUUGAUAAAUCUGUAAGCAAGCCCUGGCAUUAACGUUAUUUCAAAAUUCCCUGCCUGGUGAGUCUGCCAGAUGCCGAGAUCUCAUAGGUCUGCUCUCACUGCAUAAAGGCACAGAGGCGUUGCUGUCAGUGGGCUCCUCCAUAUUGCUGGAGACUGCGGAGAAGCAAUUGCUGAAGUGUGCUGCAGCAUUUUUAGCUUCGUAGUGUCAAAAGAAAAAAAAAUACGCCUUCCAAAUAGCUGGAAGUGACGUGAAGGGCCAGACUAUCUUUUGUCUGAAGAGGGGUUAUUCCUGACAGUACCCAGUGGGUAUAUCGAAUGCUUCAGUUCAACUUCUAUGUCUGAUAAUAACAGUAUUUAAGCUCUGUGAGUCUGCAGGCCCCAAAUUAGUAGUGAAGUCUUUGCUGCUUUGACAGCAUGCUGUUUUCUUCCGCAUCCACUGGUAUGUAUUUAUUUGGUCCAUGGUUGCAAGCCCGUUAGCGUUCUUGAUCCCAGGACUGCACUGAAACUGAAUAAUUCAAAAAAAGGUUUUCCUAAUUUUCGUAAUUUUCUUCGAUUUUUCAGCCUCAAAGCUUCUGAAUUUUACUGCAUUUGAGAUAAUUACUGGUAUUGCUAGAGCUACAACUGCUUCUUAUUUCACCUGUUUAUGGGAGCAUGCUUCUUUUGGGGGAUGUGUCUUUUAGCAUUCUUCAUCUUAGGAAUUCUGUUGUGGUUUUGCAAUGAAAUGACAUGGAUGUUUUGCCUAAUAUUGUUCUCUUGAAACUUCCAGGCUAAUCUGUCUGGGAAACAUGGAAGAUAUCCUCAAGAGAUACUUCUUAUUGCUUAGCUACUGAAACACCUGCUAAAGCUGAGCUCUUUAAGAAAACUGAAAAUUAUUUAAAUGCAAAAAAGAGUGGGUUGAUCUGGAAAAGAAACUUCUCAAAAGACUAAAAUUAGAAUAGAAUGUGUUAGAAGAGUGGUGGGGGAGGAAGACUAAGGUUUUUAAAAUAAAAGCGCUGCUGCUUGAGUAAUGAUCAAGGAAAUUCUGAUUGGGAUACUAGCAGUUGCUCCAACCCAGAGUAAUUACUGACUUCAGCAAUAAUGAUGUUUCCCUAAAGAUAGAUAUACAAUAAAGAUUCAGAGUUUUUUGUUUGUUUGUUUUCUGAGAUAGUCCAAAGCAAGACUCAGCUUGAUGUUUAUAAAUCAGACUUUGAGGCAAAUCCUGUUACUGAACCAAAUAAAUAGCUCUUUUUUUAGAGAGACUGAUAACUGAAGAAAUAUGCUUCAGAUUUGAAAUAUGCUUUGCAGAUAAGUUCAGCUCUCCCAAAGUUGCAUGAAUGAGCAUCCUUUCUUCUUGCAGAAAUCUUGUCAAAGUGAGGUAAGCUUUCUUCUUUUUGCUUUUAGAGACUUUAUCUUCCUAUCUUUUGGUUCAUCACCGUAUGUUUGACUUUGGUCAUGAGUAAAAAAUCUAAAUAGUUGGCUCAAGACUAACGUGUUCCAUGAUGCAGUGCUUUUUAUCUUUUUUUUUUUUUUUUGUCUUAGUUACAGUUCUACCACCUCUUUUCUUCUAAACUUUUUGUAGUACUGUUAUGUAUUAGAGGAUUUUCAAGGAAUCACACUUCCUGGCAGGAGAUAAGGAUCUCCAUUGUGUGUAAAAUGGCAAGGAGCAAAGUCCCAAGCAAUAAAUAAUAGGAGGAAAAAUGUUCCUCUCUGUGGGGAUAAAAGAAGACCUCAACAAAGAAAUGAACUCAACUAGAAGUGAGUACUUUUUCUUCCAAUUUGAGAAGGGGCUGUGUCUACACUCUCUAAUAUUUUUGGGUGUGUUGAGAGGUAACCCAAAAUGAUGCUGGUCUUCUUUCAGAGUGAUAGAGGUUCCCUCCUUGAUGGUGUGGUAUGCAGGUCUGCCAUGCUCCCCUUGCUGAGAGUUCUUCAGAGGUUGCUGCGUUUCCCCCAUCACAGUGCUGUGAUGAAUGUGGGGCUGUAGGUAGUGCCAUCAGCCCUUUCAGCUGCUGCCCAGGGUGCUUUAACCUCAGCUUUAUUCAGAAUAAACAUUUCAAUUUCAUAGGAAAUUCUGUUCCCGUUUCCCACGGGAUUUAAACCUUUUUCAAUCAGCUCUGCUAAGUACCAUUCCAGUGUCCUGGGUCACAGCACUGCUGUUCUUAAAUCUCUUGGAGUUGGUCAUUUAUUAGCUUGCUGAGAAGUAGCCACUUAAAUACUUUCGUUUCUUCCUCUUGACUUUUGCAUCUUUGUGUGGAAUACUUCACCACAAAGAGUAAAAUGGGAUGGACUAGUUCUCUUCCUUUUAAAUCCCUUAAUUCUAUUACUCUUAAUUUUGUUGGAUAUAUUUUACACUGCUAUGAAGCAAUGGGUUCUUCCUUUAGAAAGACGGGACUGCAGUAUUUCAGGUUCUUCUCUAAACAUUAAAAAAAGUAGUCCUAUAGAGCAUUUUGCUGUAAGAUAUUUAAAAUCCGAGGAGUAGGAAGGAAUUGAAUUUCCUGAUUUAAAGUGACUCAGCCAGUGCUGCCUCCUUGUUUCAAAAUAACUUCUCUGCAUCUAGCUCUAACCUUGGCUGGCACUAGGUAGAGCUAUCAAAUAUUUUCUCGAUUAACUUGUCAUUCUCACAAGCAGCCAGUUUCUGAGCUUUUCCUCGGGGAUCCUGGAGCAAUUACCUGGUUAGCAAUCAUUAACUCCAAAACUGCACCACUCGGUGUCGUAAGGCAUCCUGCACAAUCACAAUCACUUGGGGCUUCCUUCAUCUCGAAGUAUGGCAAUUCUGUGCCUGACUGACAGGAACUCAGUAAUAAUAAGAUAAUAGUUUGUUGAUAUUGCUUGAUACAGCAUAUCUAGUCACACACACAACAGACCAAACCUUCUUCCCAUAACUUCAGUCUAAUAUAGAGAGUUGUUUCCUUUCUCUACCACUCCUAGGUGUUGGUGGUUGUCUGUACUAUGCAAGUUAAUGCAGAAACAUUUUGUAAAGCCUGGAACUCUUCUCUGUAGGAUUGCUGAAAAGGUGUACUUCCCUUGGGGUAAAUCUUGUUCUCAGCAUCGGAAAAUUAUUUCCAUGAAAAAUAAGAAAUAAAGGUGAUAUUUUGGAGGUAGGUAUUAUUGAAUAAGUUGAAGUAAUAAUGUGGAAGCUUCUAAUUAGUCCUGCCCAGGCAACCAAAGACUUUGAGCUUUCUUGAUUAGAAUCAGCAAGUGCGUAAGUGAAAGAAGAAAUUUGUAUUCAUUUCUAUUAGUCUUAAAUAGUGAUAUUUUUUUAAGACCUACUAGUCUUCUGUUUGUGUGUCGAUGAGUUCCGUGACAAGGCUGAUUUUGUAUGCUUACAUCUCUGAAGGGAUAUGCCAAAUGCAUGUGAACAUAUUUCAAGUAUUGUGGUCCAAAUGCUUUCAAUUUAGAAGCAGAAAUCAAAUAUAUUUAUUUACAUAUGUAGAGAGAUACUGGGUUGCAGAGCUCCCAAAAAUUCAGUCAGAAAUUUCAUUGUUGGGUUCACUUUUGGUUUCUUUCCCACCAUAAGGAAGUAAGAUUCUCACUGCUGAUGAAUGUGGCAUAGUUGCAUAUCUCUGUCAUUUCUUUCCCUUCUACCAUUGAACACUGCAAAGAGAAGAAUAUCCUGUGGUAUUCUACACAAGUAAGUGCAGCAUGAGAGGACAGUUUUGCACAGUGUUGUUCUUCAGUUCUAUAGGAAACUUCAGUUUUAUGAGAAGCUGUUUGGCAAAUCACAUCCCGUUGUCCUCUCUGGGAGCAGCCCUAGUUCUACACAAGGACUGAAGGUUUAUGAGUCCUGCCAGGCUUGGAAUCAGACUUGCCAUCUUACAAAGUCCUGAGCAGCCCAGGUGGCAUUGGCCAAUGUGUUCUGGCAGCAUCAGAGACCAAUGAUGUCCCAUCAUUCUGUCCAUCCUGGACAGUGUGGAUAACAUGGUCUCAUCUAGAAGGACACAAGGAUGUACACAGCAGCUUCUACAAGUGUUUGGGCAUGUUUGGGGCAGUUGUGUGACAACUGGAAGGGAUAAAAUGUCAUUUGUGACCAAAACUGUAUAUAUUCCACUUCUGUGAUGGAGACUGUUACAAACUGCUUCCAUGCCAUGGGAGCAGGAAGAGAAAUUGUACAGGAACGGCCAAAUGUUGAAUUCAGUUUUCUGCUGGACUGUAUGUUCAGCUCAGGAAUUGAACGUCAGCCCUCCUUGAUAUAGAAAUUAAUGGAUUCUCUUUGAAAGGAGAUCAGAGAAGAAUGUGUUCAACUUUGGGCUGAGGUGCAGAAAUAUAAAUGUUAGACUAAAUUUCAUAAUCUCAGCAUAUGUAACAACAAAGAGGGAAGAGCACAUAAAGCUCAUGUGCAGGCUUGGCAUCAUGCUUGAACUUGGAAAUUGUUCACAAUAACCUGAAUGUUAUUUAAAAUGCUUUCUGUAGGCACUAAAUACUAUUUUAUGAAGAAACGGUGCAAUAUUUCUGCCCUUGUGCUUCCAUGGGAAGCAAGGAAUGUGAAUCUGGGAGCAGUAGGGAUGAAGUAGGGGCUGUGCCAAACAGUUCAUCUAUAUGUGUUUCUGCAGCAGUGUCAGACUGUUGGAUAGCAAGGGAGAGUAAAAGCCAGGCUUCCAGAAUGGCAGAAGUUAGACCUUGAAUGCCUAUAGUUCCUGCACUGGAGGGCAAAACUGAGGCUACAGUAAUUUGUUUCUCAUUUAGUCCUUCAUCUUCUAGCUUUAUUCUUGUCACCAGAGAUAGGAUCGUUCUGACAGCUGUAAAAUUUAUAAAGGGAGAGUAGGACGUUUCAGACACUUGCCUGCCUUUAUGUGUGAUAAAUGAAGAGCCCUGCCUGUGCAGGGAGUGAGCUGCACGACUCCAAGUCUGAGUUCCAGCACAGUGUGAGGAGCGGGCCUGACCUUGCAGUGCUGGAGAUGGCUCUUGUGUCCGGCAUGACAAGUGCCUGGUGUUUCUCAUGUUGUUUUUCUAAGCACUUUUAACAGAGAAGAUGCAGUCACGUUAAGGACUCCUGUGCUGUCCUUUCUGAUGUUGGGCCUGUACUUCCCUUCCCACUGUUUUCCUGGACUUUCUCAUCUUUACACUGUUAUUGGGAGCACACAUUUUCAGCUUAUCUUCUCACUAUGUAGUGUAAUUACUGGCAGACCCAGGCAGGGCUACUGACAAAGAGGAGAUAAUGUCCCUUUGAACGUCCCCAAUUAGGAUAAUUCUGUUUUUUUUAGCUGUUCAUUCAUUAGCAGAGAAGUAAACAGUGCAGACAGAAGGCUGUGAAGCAGAGUGUUUAUUCACUUGUUUUCUAGCCUUCUCUCCAGAUUAAUGAAAUGAGUCACAGACAGUAAUAGCAUGCUUGGGAAAAGAAAAAACAACAAAACACAACUGGAGGUGGGAUAUGUGAGGCCACAGCUUGGUCAGACACCCACAUCUCACCAUACCUGCAUUUAGGACUUGAUUCUCUUUAUUAAAUGUGAAUGAUGGAUCAGUUGUAAAGACAGCCAACACGCCCAGGGCAAAUUGGCAUCUAAUAAGUGCAGGUUGGUUCAGGUGUAUGUGAAAGGAAACAAUUGCUGGCGAGAAUGUAAGACCAAGCAAUUGCGACUGUGCAAAAUUACCAGUAUGUUUUCCUACCUUCCCCGGCUCUUUGACAAAGAGAGCACAGGCUGCACCUUGCUCAGGUGAGUAACACCUGGCAUUGCUCUCUGCGUGCUGCCCAGUGCAGUUUCUGAAAUGCCAGUGACACGCAUUGCCAGUCCCAUGAAAAGGUGAAGGUGGAAUAGUGAGAGUGCUCUGGUUUCAAAGGUGCUCGAGGGUUUGUUGACCUUUUAGAGUUUGGAACGGAAAUACUUGGAAAGGUUACAUGAAUUUUGAGCAGAGAAGGAAACUGAGAACACAAGGAGAUAUCACAGAUGUGAUUUCAAUGCUGGACCAUCAUUCCUCUCUAGAUCGAGCACAGGUAAAUUUUUGCUUAGCAGCGGGACUUUUUGGCAAGGCAGAACAAACUGACAGCAGGGCAAGAGAGGAAUAAUAAUUAAUUGUGGAAAUUCUAGUAAGAACUAAUUACAGCCAACACCACCAGGCAACUCUGAUGUAGAAAGAAAAAAAGAGAAGCACCUCUGUGAUGCUCAGUCUUUGUAUUAGAUCCUGAAACAACGAUUAUUUAGUUGUAUUAUCUAAAGGGAAAUAAUGUGUACAGUGCAGUCUUAAAGACCUCUUUGAUUCUGGCUGUUUCUCCAUGGGAGUACGUAUCACAGAAAGCCAUCACCUCCAACUCUUUCAGCUGUUUAAUUUAUAAAUUCUCCAAAAAUUGGUUUCUAGCCAAGAUGUUUUGCUAUUUAUUGUUACUUUGUGUAAUACUGUUCAUUGGUGGUGUCUGUGUUGUGUUUCAUUUUGAGUGUCAGUAUUGCUAGGGUGGAGAUUCAAGCCACACAAAGCACACAAAAAGAGAAAAAGCAACAACAACAACAAAAGGGAUGAAGCUGGAGAAGCAAAGGGAGCUUGUCAAAGCCUGUAGAGAAGAAGUGAGGAUAAUUAAUCAGAUAAAUGGAGAUAGAGAGCAGGUGCACAGAGGGAAUAGUCUGAUGGGAACAAAAAGCAGUGGAAUGAAAAUGAACAUCAGAAGAGCUCAUUCUCCUUCUGACCAAGCCGACUGGGAAAUGCUAACUGUAAGGAUCUGAAAAUGAUACAGCUGAAGGAUCUCUAGCAGUAGCAGCCUGAAUUACUACCCAAGCCUGCUCAGAGAAUAAGAGCAAGAAGAAACACAAAGGUGCAUGGAUUGCGCCCUCACUCUUGGGCUGGUGGGGUACAUAUGGUACCGCAAGGUGCAGCCCUCCAACCGGACUCAGUGCCACUGAUCACAGCCCCCUGAGCUUGGCCAGUCAGACAGUUCUCUGUCCACCUCGCUGACCACUCAUCUAUCCCACAUGUCCUAAGCUUCUUCAGAAGGAUGUUGUGAGAGGCAGCCUUGCUGAAGUUGAGGUACACAACAUCCAUUGCUCUCCCCUCAUCUACCUGGAUGGUGAUGACAUUGCAGAAGGCUGCCAGUUUGGUUGAGCCUGGUUUCCCCAUGCUGACUCCUGAUAACCUUCUUCUUUCUGUUUGCUUGGAGAUGGCAUCCAAAAUAAAUUGGUUCAUCAUUUUACAUUGACUUUUAUAUGCCAUGGUAUCAGCUAUGCUUCCAUCCAAAGGAUUUAAUCAGUUCUCCAUAAUGUGGAAGUUGAAGAACAUCUUUCCUGUAUUAAAAAUAUUAAGAAUUUAAUCUAUGAGAAUUUACUACUUGUGAAAGAAACAACUUCUUCCAUUUGCAGCAUCCUUAAACAACCAUUCUUGAUAUCAGAUGGCAAUCUGAACUCCACACCCAACCUUGGCAUCUGUGGUCAUGACAUCAGUGAGGUAGGAACUGCAUCAUGAGCUCCUUACAGUGGCAUUUAAAUCUAACUUGCAAGUGCCCCAAACCCACUAUUCCUACAGUUAUGACCCAGUUGCAUUUUGCACUGCAGAGAGUGCACGUGUAUUCUAAGUAAUUGGUUUCCCUUUUUCAUAGGUAAACCUUUACAGUGAGUUUGCAGACCAGUUCUGUUUAAAACUAAGUGAUAUGAAAAGCCUUUAGAUUAGCAUUUUUAUGUUCACUUUAUUAUCUGGUAAUAGUGUUUGUUAUGUAUGUAUGUAUGUAUGCUUGUGUACAUUAGGUAGAGAUUGGUCUGAUAGUUUUUUAUGCUUUACCCACAGGAGGUGCCCUCUCCCCAUCCGCCUUCUUACCCCAUGUUCCUCCCCAAGUUCCUCUUCCCCAGCGAAUACAUACAGAACCCCCAAAGACUGUGAAUGUUGAUGCGUUAUUUUUGUUUCCCUUGGCCAAGGAGAAGUUGUGAAUUUCUUCUUACCAAUACAGUAAAAUAAUUGUGCAAAUGUUUAAAGCAGUUGUAAAUCAUUAAUUUGACAGGAACCCACAUAACAACCAAAAUGAGUUCAUGAAAAAAAAUGACUGGAGAAAUCUGUUGCCUAUCUCUCAUCAUACAUGGUAUCUACCCUAAUCCAAGGUGAAUUUCUUUUCAUCCUGUAGAGAUUCAAAAACUGAGUCAUCUUUCAUCUGCUUAGUAAGGAUAAAAAUGUUCCCAGAAUACUCCAGAGCUGCUGUGUUCCACGGGGCCCCUUUGUGCUUUGUAUAAUAUACUCAUAGUUCACCGUAGGGGUUCUUAUGUGGUUUCAUUUAUUUGUGAAGCCUUCUUAUUUUUAGAAUGAGCUCAUGCUCUGCUGCAGGGUCCAAGGUUUCAUGGCUAUGUAGAUGGAACUAUAAUGCUGCCAUAAAUCUGUCUUAAAAGAAAGAGAUUGCAGAAGUGGGACAAGGUAGAAUCUUCAGAUGUUAGAAGAAAAAAAAAAAUCAAGAAAGGGGAUUUGAAUUAAUCUGAAACUGGCUGGCGGACUGUUUGCAAAGGUACCAUAGCGAUUUUUGUUCAGAAGGCAGUGUUUGUAAAACAUUGCCGUGGUGUGCUCCAGAAACAAAAUGAGUCAGAGUUCAGAUGAUCGUAGACGUUAGGAGCAUGACAGCAGCACAGGGCUUGUCUAUGGAAAGCUGUGCAGAGCAGCUGCUGGCAGGAAGAGCAUGGCAUCGACAUGGCAAACCCAGGCGUCAUCUGUGGCCCUUCAGAGCAGCAACUCAGAACCAGAGAGUGACUGUGUAUGUGUGAUGUGUAUACAGAUGUAUAUACACACACACAUUUUUCCCCAGCUAAUGGACUAGAAAAACACUUGUACUAGGUGGAGUGAGACCAGUAGCACUGGCAUUGCUGUUGGAAUGAUGCCGCCAAGCACGCUGUCAGCACUGGGGACUCACUCUUAUUUGCAAGGACAAAGUCCUGUGUUGUAUGCUGUUCACUUCUUUUCAUUCAUACAUAACGCAUUGAUGCGUUCUGGAGAGGAGUUGUAUUCAAGCUCAAAGUUACUUUUGCGUUAUUUCAUUUAUCGUGCUGCUGCUUUUCAUUUUGCUUUUAUGCUUCACUUGGUGUUGUGCUGAAAUUACUGAUGAACGUUGUAUUUCAAAGUGAGUUCUCAUGGAACCAUUGGAAACAUCCAAGUCUGCCAUGCCUCUGUCACUGGUUCUGAUGAAAAUGGCUUUUCUUCCCUAGCCUGCAGACAGGCAGAGUUUGUAUUUUGCAGGCAGUGCUGUGGUGAUCAGCUGAGUAUAACGCAUCCGAGGACCUCUGGGAUGUCAUGUGUGUGAUGCUGGAGACAUCUGAAGGGAGCGAAUAAACAGGAGGAGGAACAGCUGUUUAGGAGGGUGCAUAGUGAUAGGACAAGGGGGAAUGGUCUUAAACUGAGA